This is a long non-coding RNA of Sebastes umbrosus (honeycomb rockfish), 253 nucleotides long. RefSeq lists it as uncharacterized. NCBI's taxonomy places the organism in Eukaryota, Metazoa, Chordata, Actinopteri, Perciformes, Sebastidae. The transcript is spliced from 3 exons. The record is from RefSeq and is a predicted model, not a curated record.
CAGCUCGGAGUCCAGUGUUCUCCCACCUGUCAUCGUCUCUUCAGGGCCUGUGGACCAUCCGAGCCUUUGGAGCAGAGGAGAGGUUCCAGAAAGCCUUCAAUGCCCAGCAGGACCUGCACUCAGAGGCCUGGUUACUGUUGCUGACCACCUCUCGCUGGUUCGCUGUCCGUCUCCACGGCAUCUGCUCCAUCUUUGUUACCGUCACCACCUUUGGCUGCCUGCUGCUCAGAGACCUAGAUGGAGUUUGGAGAAG